This 440-nucleotide ribosomal RNA is filed under the name uncultured bacterium. RNAcentral describes it as "partial 16S ribosomal RNA". It matches the Rfam family "Bacterial small subunit ribosomal RNA", at positions 338 to 795 of the family's 1533-position model. The record is from RNAcentral.
CCUACGGGAGGCAGCAGUAGGGAAUAUUGCUCAAUGGGGGAAACCCUGAAGCAGCAACGCCGCGUGGAGGAUGAAGGUUUUCGGAUUGUAAACUCCUUUUGUUAGAGAAGAUAAUGACGGUAUCUAACGAAUACUCACCGGCUAACUCCGUGCCAGCAGCCGCGGUACUACGGAGGGUGCAAGCGUUACUCGGAAUCACUGGGCGUAAAGAGCGCGUAGGCGGGAGAACAAGUCAGAUGUGAAAUCCUAUGGCUUAACCAUAGAACUGCAGUUGAAACUGUUAUUCUAGAGUUUGGGAGCGGUAGGUGGAAUUCUUGGUGUAGGGGUAAAAUCCGUAGAGAUCAAGAGGAAUACUCAUUGCGAAGGCGACCUGCUAGAACAUAACUGACGCUGAUGCGCGAAAGCGUGGGGAGCAAACAGGAUUAGAUACCCGAGUAGUC